CUGACAACACGUCAUUGGGUUCCACGAGGGGGGGGGGGGGGGAAUGCAGGGUCCUGCCCGUUGCGGAAGUAGGUAAGGAGACCGGGGACCUCGGCUUCCCCGGGCUGGUCCAGCAGCUGGGGACAGGCUGCUGUCUGUCCUUCCGCCCAGGUCUCCCCAGGAGGCCCCAGGCAUUCAGCACCCAAGGUGGCAUCCAUGUCUGGCACCCCACGUCCCCAGCGGGAGGACCAAUGGCGGCUGCCCAUUUGGAGGCUCCUACGGAUGUCACCCAGCAUGGAGAGGACAUCUUGAGUGGGCACCACCCCUGGGAGGAGAAAGGCCCCCAUCAGCACGGCCAUGGCCCCUGCGGCCCCUCCGGGGGUCCCUAGACCUAGACCCCCUCUGGGACCACUGGCCUGAGCCCCUUCAACCCCACUUUUGGGCUGUAAUGACACCCAGAUCCUCGGGGCGCAUAGGCGCAAGCGCGCACCACCAGCGCCUGCGGAAAGGGGCGCGCCCUCUCUGCGUCCUCGGCUCCCUGUCCGUCCAGCUGACCGGGUGGGUGACCAGGUUGCUCCAGUCCUUGCAGAUGACCUGGACCAGGAGACGGAAAGAGGGUGGCCGCAGUCAGGAGGGGUCCCCGGGGACAGAGACCUGACACCCUGUGGGAAGCUGGAAGACGCCGGCCCCUGCGGGUCUGCGGAGCCAAGUGGGACGGGCGACCUCUACAAGUUUUUCUGCAGGGUCGCAUGGGGCUGGCGUGGAGGAGUGUGCAGACCUGAGAUGAGGAACAGACCAGCCACCGGGAGGCCUCCAGAUGGCGACAUGGCUCAGAUUCAAGGAGUGACAGUGACUCUCCUCAGGAGACCUGGGGCAGCCCACGGAGAUGAGCAGACACAGGGCGGCAGCCGGGCUUCCGAGCGCCCCCCGCGGCCUCAGGAGGAAGGACGAGGCGCAGACCCGGGAGGGAAACUGCUUUAUAGUCCUUCCACACGGGGUCCACGUGGCGACAGGUCUCAGUGGGAGAGGGCGAUGAGACCCCACCUUACACCGUGCGCCAUAGUCAGUUACGGUGGAUUAGAGAAAGAAGGAAGGCAGGAGUGCAUAUUUCAGUGACGCAAAGACUAGUCAUAAAGCAAAGAAAAACAGGCAAAAAUGUUUAGAAACAUCUAGAAAGAAAGACACUGUCAAGUUUAAAAGAUAAGCGUGUCAAAUAUUACCCAUGAUGCAAAUGAAAGUAGUUGGCCGGGCGCAGUGGUGCAGGCCUGUCAUCCCAGCAUCCCGGGAGGCUGAGGCAGGAGGAUCGCCAGGUGGAGGCCAGC
Marmota flaviventris (yellow-bellied marmot) is the source of this 1301-nucleotide long non-coding RNA. RefSeq lists it as uncharacterized. The record is from RefSeq and is a predicted model, not a curated record. Lineage: Eukaryota; Metazoa; Chordata; Mammalia; Rodentia; Sciuridae.